RNAcentral lists this transfer RNA (63 nucleotides) under Eyprepocnemis plorans. RNAcentral describes it as "tRNA-Cys". Lineage: Eukaryota; Metazoa; Arthropoda; Insecta; Orthoptera; Acrididae. The record is from RNAcentral.
GGCUUUAUAUUCAACAAUGAUUCUAGACUGCAAUUCUAGAGGUGUAAAAUUUUACUAAGGCCU